Molecule: long non-coding RNA, 8801 nt
Organism: Gallus gallus (chicken)
Lineage: Eukaryota; Metazoa; Chordata; Aves; Galliformes; Phasianidae
Source: Ensembl
UGCUGGCUCAUACAGCCAUAUUUAAUCUUGCUCCUUUGGAGGGGACCUCACCAUAGCUUGGUUACACCCAAAUUCAUAUUGCACUCUAAAAUAAAAUAAAAAAAAUUGUAAGGACUGGCAUAUGCAUAACCCUAAGGGGUGCUGCUUGAGGUAUUCAGAAGCGAUACAGACAGCUACAUCCACAUCAGUGUGUGUCUGUUAUUCUCCAUCUAAAUAACAGGGCGGAUAUCUGUGACAUUUGGAAAAAAAAAAUAAGAUGAAUUUGUCCAAUAUGUGUGCAGGGAUAUGGGAUAACAGCACUGCAUGGAUGGAAUAGCAGGGAGUGCCUGGGGUCAGCGGGUGAGUGGCAAUGCUGUGUGGGGAUGGUUGUAUGGGGCCACUCACAGCAUUGCCCCAGCCCAUGGUUGGACAGGCAGGGUGAGCUAUUCUUAGUCAAGAACUUCAUGCAGAACCCAGCCCUUAGAAAAAAAGAGCAAAAUAGCUUUUUGACCAGAAGAUUGAGGCUUCUUAUGUGGUUUGAGGCUGUCAUCUGAUGAACAGCUUGUCCCAGAAGUUAUAGCUAACGUCACUGCUGAGUGCUGUGGCACGUAUUCCAAAUGCACGAGACAGAUCGUGAACAAAAACUGUGUUUGUUUCAAAUUCAUACUCCUAAUACUAUUGACUUAAAUACUUGUGGUACAUUAGUAUCUGUAGCUCAAAUCAGGAAAGCUGCAAAAAGUAGCCAUUGUUAACAAGGUUCUGUUUCUUCCUGAAAUUAAAUCAACUGGCAUCAAUUUGAAGAAAAUUUGCUGUAAUGAGUUUUUCUUACUGAGAGUGACCAAAGCAGAACAUAGGAAGGAGUGCAGCAAAUCAAAGAAGCAAAGAAAAGGUUGGGAAGACAGACAAGGUAUGUGAACAUAUUUUUCAUGGACAUUUUGACUUUCUUGCUAUAUUAAUUUAUGUCACAUAGUUUUAUGUCACGGUGGCAGUGCCCUUAAUCGGAACAAAAUUCUAUCUCUGACAUAAUACAAUAAGGACAAGCAUUUACAGAUCUAACUUCAAUUUGACUGUCUGUGGUGAAAUCAAUGAGAGGCAGAAAAACUUAAGUAUGCUUACAGAUCUUGUGAUUGUUCUGUUCAAACAGAAUUCUUCAAAUCCAUGGAUAGUUUGAUUAGGUUACUGCUUAUAGAUAGUUGGUACAUGCCUCAUGAACAAAAGUAAAUAUUCAUUUCAGAUCUCAAUCCCAUCAUCAGGUGCCUACAAAUUUAUUACUGUGAAUUGAAAGAUUUGCAGGAUUGCCUUUGUAGAAUUGUGAAAUCUGACAUAGAUCCUUGGAAUUGCAUGUUGACCAUAAGUGAACAGAAGGAUAAGUGCUGCUGUUCUCCUCUGGCUCAUUUUUAGUUUUGGGAUUCCUGUAGGCAGUGCUGAAUGUGAACCCCUUCAAUGCUGACCCCUCCUACAUUCCCAUAUGCAGCUGCACAUUCUAAAUGCUGUGAAAAAAAAAUCACACAGUACAGUGUGAUCUGCAAGCAUUUAUACAAUAGAUGAACCACAGUGACUGUUCAAGCUUGAACUGGGUGUUAUAGUUUAUGCAAGUUCAGGCAUGUUUUGAAAUGAAGAGAGGUAGGAAAAGAUAAAUCAUACCUUUGUUUCUGUGAAGCAUUUUUCCAUAAAAACCCAAAUGUUGAUGCCUAAACAAGGCCAAAAAAUGUAUCGUCCCUACCUUUCCUUAAGGGUGUUUGCUUGCACAGUGCUAGGAUCAUCUGUAGUUGAGACAAGAUUCACACUUCUCCCAGGUCCAGAUGGCACUUCUGUGCUGCUGGGACGGUCUAGCAAAGCUGCUCCUUGUUUCUGAGCAGGUGACACUGAACCACCCCAAGGUGUAAGUUCAGCCAGCUUCAAUGCUUUGCUGAGCUUGCUGUCAAUGGGAGGGAGCUGGCUGGGCUCUGUUGUUGCUCCAGCCAGUUCCCACAGCAGCUCCUUGGCACCCUGCUGGGCUGCAGUAGGGUAUCAGCGUGAGCAACGCUGCAGAGCCGUGGGCUGCUCCUGGGUAUGUCUCCUCAGUUCCUUGCUCUGCCCAGAUAACAGGCACUAGGAUAUAGAAUUGCUCUCCUCCAACUCCUUUUCUUUUCCUGCUGUAUAGGGACAUGCAUAUAUUUAACAUAUACGUUCACAAACUGUUAACCUUAGUACUAUUUUCUCUUUUCCUACCUUAACCAAAGCUUCAUUUUAUUUCGAGCACUGUAAUUAAUUGACUCAGCAGCACAGUCAAGGAUACACCCCCUGGGUGCUUCAGCCUUUUACACAGAAGAUCCCAGGGUGUCGAGGGUCACUUUCAAGGCUUGUAUCUAUCUCAGGCAUUUGGAGAUCAAGUCCAAGUGGUCUUUGGAACUGCUUCAUACUCUGAAAUCGCGUUCCUCCAAAGCUGAUAUCUCCUGUUUUGGACACAAUAUCCAAAUGUGUAGAUAACAGAUGUUGCCCUUGGGUGGAAGACCUUCAUUCUCCUGGAUGGUGGUCUUAGACAUAGCAUUCCAACCAAGGAAACCACAGUCAACGAAAAAAAAAACCCAACCCCCAUCCCAAAUUGUGUACGGAGUCCUGGCAACUCAAGCAGGGCCAAACUGAUGUUGAACAGAACUUAAUUAUUUUAAUUUUAUUCACACUGAGUCUUCAUCUGUGUUGACAGUACUCUUUUCCAGUCUACUUCACAAUGACAGGCAGAAUCCAAAUCCCAUUCAAAUGAAAGUAUGAGGAAGCCAGGGAUGGACUCCUAGCAAACAAACAAAAACAGUUAGACAUUUUUACUUCAAAAGCACAGCAGUGGUUUACCAGCAAGGACUGUACUCAUUAAUGCUGUCUUAUUUGCGCUGCUACCUAUUACAAUUUUUAAUGUUGCUUUGAAAAAAAAAAAACCAUUUUUAAGAGCCAACUGUUUCACUGCUUUGAAAUCUCUUUGCCCAAGAGUGAAUCUUUGCAUUUGUUUUCAAAACAGUCAGUUCUUUCGUGUGGAAGCCAUGCAAGUAAGUUGGUACACAUUGUUAGUACAUCAGUCUUCAAAGACAAAUGAAAAAUAAAGGGCUUCCUUAUUUGAGACCACUUUUCUGCUCACCGCCUCCUUUCCCGUUUCCUUUCCUUAUUUGUCCUCCAGCAGCAGCUAAUGCAGCCAUGCCACGGUGUUGAAGCGCGAUGUCGGGUGAAAUGCAGGCAUUGUGUGGAGCCAUGAGAGCGCCAGCAGUGCAUGGCACGUGGGAACACAUUCAGGCCUACACCAAUGAGAAGAAACAGGAAAGGCUGUGGGCAUCCCACUGCCUUUGCUGUGCUGAUUCCUGGGGAAGCAGAAGAAGAGCUCCAGCAGCAGCCUCACAUGGGCCCAGCACUGGGAGCAGAAGCUCAGCAUCACCCACUACAGCCUCCUUUCUACAGCACUGCCAGCUGAUUCAGUCCUUGCCUCAGGUGAUCAAUUGGUGGUUCAGGCUGUGAUUCAACAGUUCCCAUGCAGUACUUUAUCCAAACACUGAACAACCGUGCUGUACCUUCGUAGCAACGUGAGGAGUUCUACACGUUGAGAGAUGACUGCCUCAACUUUCAGCUUUCAGCCCUGACUCUUCUUAAAGGUGAGUUUUUGGUUGGCAGAGAGUGAUUGUGAAAUUUAGAGCCAUAAUUUUUCUUUGGUAUGAUGGAGUUUUGUAGGUUGGUUGUAGCAGUUUUGUAAGUUGGUUUCAAAAUUGCACUUUUACUCUGCUAAUUAGGUGGUAUUGACCACCAACUUGAACUAGGUAGUGUUACAAGUAUGAUGUGUAAGUGUUGUGUCAGAGGACAAGGAAUGUUGUUGCCUGAACCACAGCUGUAAUGCUGUACCUGGCCUUGUUUACAUUGCUGAAGCUCUGUGGAGUGCAGUUCUUCUGUGGAAAAUGGAAAUGAAUGGUAUUUGCCUAUCACAAAAGAGUGCUACAGUAGGUUGUUAGCUCCACUGGAUUGUCUACGUGAAGGUGUACAGAACCGUUCAGAAAUCUCCACUAGCUACUUGGGAUUUGGACUUGCGUUUUUGUAGCUCUGCUAACUAAAUUCCAGUGUAACAAUUGCAAUAGAUUCUUCGUAUGGUUCUUCUUUUAUUUUGCUUGUUAUUGGAAAGGAACUUCUAAUCUAUGCACCAGGCUCAGCAGCAGUGCAGGCAGGAAAGGACCCGAACUUUAGAGCUUCUGUCAGUUUGGACUGGAAAUAAUUGUGCAAAGGAUUGUGAGAUUUUGCUGUCUUCAAAUGUGAAAUAUACUUGAGCAACAGUUUAUCUUUUAGUGUAACUUCAAUUCAAAUCUUAGCUUCAGAUACUAUGAUUUUGACUUUUCCUAAUAAAAAAUCCAGGUGGAAGUGACUAGAAAUAGGAAGCAAAUACCUAAUUUGCAGAAAAAUGCCUUGGCGGUAGUGAAGUGAGAGCGCCUGACAGACUGCCUCAUGGUGUUCAUUCUUACCGAGCUACAGUGAAGGCAGAUGAAGCAUAAAUUACUCAGUAAGCAAAUGCCUUGUUUUCUCUGUAACUCCACCUCUUUGGGGCAUCCUGCCCUGUCCCCACCCCUCGCACUUGUCUGCUUGUCUUAAUGGCAGUAUUCACGCAGCUGGUAAUUUAUGUGUCUGAGAGAGAAGAUUUACACAGAGCCUUCCCUUCAGUUAUUCAGAAAAUGUGAGAUACAACACGUGAUUUGUUAGGUCCCAAACUCUUAACUUAAAAGUCACGAACAUCUUAAUGGCUGGGCUCGAGCAAGAGAAGUUUUAUAUGCAAUAACUUGAGCGAGAAGCUGGUUCUGAGGUCCUCACUUUACGCCUAGUUACAAAAGUUUGUCUUCAAAAUAAAUACAAUGCCUAUUGUAACAUAAGCACACAGUAAUUUGGCUUUGGUUGAAGCAGUUCGAUGCGCUGCUCUGGCAGACAGACGGAGCUGAUCCAGUUACGGAGACCUGCUUGAUUCGGUCGGUGUCUUGUGUCAUAAACACGAAUUGUUAAUUUCAUAUUACUCAUAACAGGCGCACUGUGAAUGUUUGCAGCGUUUAUAGGAUAUCAGUUACAAAUGUGAUUAUACCAGCCAUUCCUCAGGACUGACACCAGUUUCAAAUUAGAAGCUGACAGGCCUCACCUGCUCCUGAGUUCACCGACAGGUCACCUUCUUGUCAUUUUGGCUGUCCCCCCCCUCAGAAUGACAUCUGUGUUCAUAAAGGGACAGUGAGGGACUCUAAGUUGUUAGAAUUGUUGAAGAAUAAGAAUAAGGUGUCAUCUACUCCAAUAACGUAGUACUCAACUUUGGCCUUUCAGAUGGCGUGAUGCUUGUAGCACCUGACAAUGUUUCCAGAUACAAGAAUAGCCAGAUCGGAGGGGCAGCAGUUGUUCCCUCUUCUACGCACGGAUGCUAGGCAUUCAGCCCAGUGCUAGCCACACAGUAGAGGCAACCUCAGAGUAUUCAGCAAGGGCUUUCAAAAUACCUUUACUUUUUACAUAAAGGGAUAGCACGUUAGCUUAAAUUAAAUCAUUCAGAGGAUGUUAUUACAUAGUCAGAUUUUAAAGCAACCUGUGAAAGGCAAAAGGUAAAUACUGUUAAACAUACAACUAGAUAAAAUAUAUUUGAAGCCUUUUCAAUUUGUUGGACAUCUGCAUGAAUCUCUGCGUACUGUGGGUAUAGAUGCAAACCGUGAUGUUACGUGGAAUUGUCCUAGCACUUAAAAACACAUAUUUCUUCCUUUCUAAGGAAGACUUUUCGCAUUUGCUCGAUUGCUGUAACGCAGUUGAGAUAGGGCAGUCCAAUUACUCUGCCCAGACACUUCUCAAAACUCAGAAAAAGGGCAUCCCUCUUCCAACUCAGGUUCAUAAUUAGCUUAUUUCUGUCAGUGAACGCACAGAGAUGUCAGAUCCAAACAACCUCAAACUGUUCAGAACAGAGAUUUGGGCUCCUCUGCAUUUCAAGUUUACUGAAUAAGUGCAGAAACCAAUACAUGCAUGCCUCAGAUGGAACAGCUGUGCAUCUGUCUCCUUAAUGCAUGGGUUUUACAGGAAGCUAAGCAUGUGCAUACGUAUAAGCCCACUGAAGUUGCCUGCCCCAUUGCUGCUGUAUGUAGAGAGGAAGGUCUGUGGGUGAGCUCCCAGCUGUGGGCUGUGAAAGCUUUUCUCCUGGCACCUCCAGGGGCUGGACAGACUUACACUCACCUUGAGCUCAGUUGUGUGCUGGUGAGAAAAGAGCAGAGAUGUUCGUGAGAGGGUGGGAAAGGAUAAACAAGAUGUUCAAUUGCACUUUGCCAAAUGAAGGACUCAGAGCAGCCAAGGAAAAUCUUUUUUUUCUUUUUUCCUCACUAAAUUAAACCUUUAUUUUUGUCUUAGACACUGUGGCUAGCAGAACUGUGAGGAUGUUCACAGUUAUCGCAGUUGCCAUCAUUCUCUGAAAUCUGUCCUUGAUUUUAUUUUCUGCUUCAGGAAAUAUUAUAGUAUUGUUAUUUUAUCUAUAUUAAAUAAACCUAAGGCCUGACUCUUCAUGGUGUAAACAAGCAUGACUUCAGGAAAGCAGUGCUGAAUCACGCCAUCUGUGUGUCUGAGUCUUAAUAUAAAAAGGAACAUGUUACUAGAGAGUAAACAGAAGUAAACAUUUGUUAUGGAAACUCACGUUAUCAACCCAGACACCCUCCUCCGGCGUUUAGCAGGAAAAAAAACCCACCUAUGGUAGAUUUACAGAAGCCACCGCUUUUUUUUUUUAAUGAUUUGGAUAUUGAUCAUUUUUAAUCUUCUUCUCAGAACAACCGGGAGAUCUAUUAUAGCUUGAGCCAGCCAUGAAAAGCAGGUCCGUUCUUUAACCUGCCCCAAUUCACUUGGACAUAUUUUAUAUCUCCAGGGAUUCAGCCACAAAGUCCAUUAGAGCAUCAGAUGCAGUGAGGUCAAAUCAAUUGUCCAUACUGCAGACAAGGUAACCAUCAUUUACUGUAAUUCUCCCCCGUCAUGGUAGAGGAGAGGAAAGGUUAAAAGCUGUAUUACCAUGAGGCUGUCUCAUCUAUCUUUCAGUAUAUUGGUAAUACCUAAACAUUGCUUAAGGAACUGAAUGCACAAUCUUAAAUCUGCGUUAGAAUGGAUUUAGAGGUUAGAUUGCCAACUUGCAAAAUUUGCGAAUGAUGAUUUCUUCAAAGAAAAGCAGAAAAAAUGAAAAUUUUAAAACAAAAAGCUUAAAAUAUAUUGUCACGUCUGACACAGCCGAUCUGAAGCUAUACUGAACGUUCAUCUCACAAUGACCCGAAUGACUGCUAUUUAUCCUUCCCUAUACAUACAUAUAUUUACCUAUGAAGUAAUUUGCUGUCAUCUCUUUAAGGUGGAGAUGCUAUGACAGUCCAAAAACAAAAGAGGAAGUAAAUUCAGGAUGUAUAUUUUUGCACUGUAAAUCAAGCCCUUAUGUGUUUGCACUCUACGAUGGGCAAUAAUAAUUGACUGAAGCAAUCACUGCUGUGGGAAAACAAACGUCCUGGCAGUGUCGCAUGUGAAGGUCAAGCCUGAUGACACAGUAAGCACCUGAACUCUCACUGACUCCUGGGGAGGCGGCCGCUGAGCACCUCCCGGAGCUCUCCUGGCAGGGACAGAUUUACGCAGCCGCCGGGCAGGGGGUGAGGAUGCUUUUUCGCUCCCACCUCCUUCCGUUGGGUCUGCAAAGUCAUUUAUUUCCAUUACAUGUUCUCUCUGGCUCCUCUGCUCGGUAUGUCAGCUGCAUGAAACCAGAGAGAAAAGGCGCUUCUGUGCUUCCAGUGACUGUGCAUCCCUCCUCCUUCAAACAAUUGUGCUGGCCCCAAUUCACUUCACGCAAGCUGGUGCAUUGUUUGCAUGCAGGGGAGCUGUGUCCACUGCACACGCGUGUGAAAGCUGUGGCACCAUGGCCCAGAUCUUGUUGGACAUUGUUGAAGCAGGAAGCAAUAAACCCAGCUUUAUUCACUUGCUUAUUUGCCUUUUCUAGGUUAAUCUUUUCUCUUUCCCUGGAUUUCUUUAAUCCUGGGAUGUUUUCAUUGAGAAAGUGAUUGAAUGAAGAGGCAUUUAGAUUUUCUGUAUUAUGGAAAUGUUUUCACAGCUGUCAGAACCAGUAAUUUUGUCCUUCUGUUUCAGAAGCUAGGUUCUAAGCAAACGUACACAUCCGUUGUUUAAAAUAGAGGCAAAGAAAUAAGGAAUAGAAAAUAGUCACUGCAGUACAAGUGUGUAUUUCUGAGGCUGACGUAUAUUCUGACAUACGUUCACGGUAACUGUAUUGGGAGACAAUGGAUGAACGCAGUGGGAGUGUAAGAGCUGAUGAUGUACGUUACAGAUAAUAAAUAUUUUUGUACGGAAGCUUAUUUGUAAAACUUAGAGUUUAACACUCAGCUCAAUAAAUUCCACUUUCAGGUAAUGUAGGCAUUCAAUAACCAUAAAAAGGAACCGGUAAAAGUUUUGUGUGCGCUGAAGGAGAGAGAAAUGUGCUUUAGAUUAGGUGUUACAUACCUUUCACUUAGCUGCUUUUCCUUCUCUGUUUCCUCUUUUCAUGAUUUUCUUUAUUAUUACCUACUCUCUGGGCUCCUUUUCCUCAGUCUGUGUCGCCCAUCACCUCUGAAUUCAUCCCUAUGAAUGUUUAUGCACAGGUCUUUCGCAACAGUGCAGACUGGCAUUGUGCUAUAAAAUAAAAAUAGCAUUCAAUUAUAAAUUGUAUAUAAAAUUAGAUCUUUGCAAAGGUAAUUUCCAGAACAGCAUCUUUUAAAAUUUAAUUUAGACAUAACUAUUACGAAAUAAGUAAGGCAAAUGUAAAGCUGAGUGAGAAGUUCAUCCCAGGAUCUGGAAGGAAGCAAAAG